AUACAGACAGGCAACAGACAGGUAUAAUACAGACAGGUUUAAUAAAGACAGGUAUAAUACAGACAGGUUUAAUAAAGACAGGUAUAGUACAGACAGGUAUAAAUAUAGACAGGCAACAGACAGGUAUAAUACAGACAGGUAUAAUACAGACAGGCAACAGACAGGUAUAAAUACAGACAUGUAUAAAUACAGACAGGUAUAAAUACAGACAGGCAACAGACAGGUUUAAUACAGACAGAUAUAAUACAGACAGGUAUAAAUACAGACAUGUAACAGACAGGUAUAAUACAGACAAGUAUAAUACAGACAGGUAUAAUACAGACAGGCAACAGACAGGUAUAAUACAGACAGGCAACAGACAGGUAUAAAUACAGACAGGUAUAAAUACAGACAGGUUUAAUAAAGACAGGCAACAGACAGGUAUAGUACAGACAGGUAUAAAUACAGACAGGCAACAGACAGGUAUAAUACAGACAGGCAACAGACAGGUAUAAAUACAGACAGGUAUAAUACAGACAUGUAUAAAUACAGACAGGUAUAAAUACAGACAGGUAUAAAUAUAGACAGGCAACUAACAGCUAUAAUACAGACAGGUUUAAUAAAGACAGAUAUAAUACAGACAGGUAUAAAUACAGACAGGUAUAAUACAGACAGGUAUAAUAAAGACAGGUAUAAUACAGACAUGUAACAGACAGGUAGAAUACAGACAAGUAUAAUACAGACAGGUAUAAUACAGACAGGCAACAGACAGGUAUAAUACAGACAGGUAUAAUACAGACAGGUAUAAUACAGACAGGUUACAGACAGGUAUAAUACAGACAGGUUACAGACAGGUAUAAUACAGACAGGUUUAAUACAGACAUGUAUAAUAAAGACAUGUAACAGACAGGUAUAAUACAGACAAGUAUAAUACAGACAGGUAUAAUACAGACAGGCAACAGACAGGUAUAAUACAGACAGGCAACAGACAGGUAUAAUACAGACAGGUUUAAUACAGAGAGGUAUAAUACAGACAGGUAUAAAUACAGACAGGCAACAGGCAGGUAUAAUACCGACAGGCAACAGACAGGUAUAAUACAGACAGGUAUAAUACAGACAGGUAUAAUACAGACAGGUAUAAAUACAGACAGAUAUAAUACAGACAGGUAUAAAUACAGACAGGUUUAAUACAUACAGGUAUAAUACAGACAGGUAUAAUACAGACAGAUUUAAUACAGACAGGCAACAGACAGGUAUAGUACAGACAGGUAUAAAUACAGACAGGCAACAGACAGGCAACAGACAGGUAUAAAUACAGACAGGUAUAAAUACAGACAUGUAUAAAUACAGACAGGUAUAAAUACAGACAGAUAUAAUACAGACAGGUAUAAAUACAGACAGGUAUAAAUACAGACAGGUAUAAUAAGGACAGGUUUAAUACAGACAUGUAAAAUAAAGACAGGUAUAAAUACAGACAGGUAUAAAUACAGACAGGUAUAAUAAGGACAGGUUUAAUACAGACAUGUAAAAUAAAGACAGGUAUAAAUACAGACAGGUAUAAUACAGACAGGCAACAGACAGGUUUAAUACAGACAGGUAUAAAUACAGACAGGUAUAAUACAGACAUGUUACAGACAGGUAUAAUACAGACAAGUAUAAUACAGACAGGUAUAAUACAGACAGGCAACAGACGGGUAUAAAUACACAGGGGAUAAUGAAGGAAGAUGGGAGACACCUGGUGGGUGGGGGGGGUAGGAGACAAGCACAAAGACAGGUGAAACAGAGCAGGAUGUGAUUUUGCAUUUUACAUUCUUAUCAGGAAAUUUUUGAAAGUAUGGAGAUCGGGAUAAGAAGAUAAGAAGAUAAGGGUGGAAGAUCUUCAUACUUAUCUCCCCAUUUCAAGCCUUCCUUUUGACUGGUACUGUACAUUUCUCAGACAAAGAAAAAAGCAUAAAGUUGUACAUUUACCAAGGAUUCAAGAAUAUUGACUAGCUUCUUUAGCUUAUUGAUCGAAAUUUCGGAUGACUGACGUGCCCAAAGUAAACUGCCUGUUACUCAGGCCCAGAAGCCAGGAUAUGCAUAUAAUGGGUAGCAUUGGAUAGAAAACACUCUGAGUUUUCUAAAACUGUUAAAAUAAUGUCUGUGAGUAUAACAGAACUUAUAUGGCAGGCGAAAACCCGAUGACAUUUUUGUUUUGAGGUCACAGCCAUUUCAAUGCUAGCCUACGGGAUAUACCAAAUAUUUCCUCCCAGAUUGCAGUUUCUCUGGCUUCCACUAGAUGUCAACCGUCUUUAUAAAGGGUUUCCAGCUUGUUUUGAGAAAUGAGCAAGGAGCUGUAGUUUUUCCAAGGUGUCUCUCAUUAGAAAAGUAGUCUUGUUGGCGCGGGAAUGAGGUGCUGCUCUUCGUUAUUUAUCUUCCCUAUUGAACAUAUUAUUCUCUGUCUUAAAUAUUAUUGUUUAUUUAGAUAUUAGAGUAGCUGAGGAUGAAUUAGAAACAUCGUUUGACUUGUUUGGACGAACUUUUACCGGUAACUUUUUGGAUUCGUUUGUAUGCAUGUUGAACAAGUGGAUUACAACUAAACAGACUUUUUUGGAUAUAAAGAAGGACUUUAUCGAACAAAACUAGCAUUCAUUGUGUAACUGGGACCCUUGGGAUUAGCAAACAGAGGAAGAUCUUCAAAAGUAGGUGAUUUAUUUAAUCACUAUUUGUGAUUUUGUGACGCCUGUACUGGUUGAAAAAGUAUUUUGAUGUGGGGCGCUGUCCUCAGAUAAUCGCAUGGUAUGCUUUCGCCGUAAAGCCUUUUUGAAAUCUGACAACGCAGUUGGAUUAACAAGAAGGUAAGCUUUUAAAUGAUGUUUGACACUUGUAUUUUCAUGAAUGUUUAAUAUUACGAGUUUUGUAUUUUCAAUUUUGCGCUCUGCAAUUUCACCCGAUGUUGUCAUGGUUGUCCCGCUAGUGGCAAGACAAGUAUACUUAUCACCUCUAGCUAAGAUUCUUGAAUCCUUGGAAAAUGUACUACUUUGUCCUUUUUUUUAUCUGAGAAAUGUACAGUACCAGUCAAAAGUUUGGACACACCUACUCAUUCAAGGGUUUCUCCAUGUUUUUACUAUUUUCUGCAUUGUAGAAUAAUACCGAAGACAUCAAAACUAUGAAGUAACACACGUGGAAUCAUGUAGUAACCAAAAAAAGUCUUCAAAGUAGCCACCCUUUGGCAUUAUCUCAACCAGAUUCACCUGGAAUGUUUUUCCAACAGUCUUGAAGGAUUUCCCACAUAUGCUGAUUUCCUGCUGUCCAACUCAUCCAAAACCAUCUCAAUUGGGUUGAGGUCGGGUGAUUAUGGAAGCCAGGUCGUCUGAUGCAGCACUCCAUUACUCUCCUUCUUGGUCAAAUAGCCCUUACACAGACUGGAGGUGUGUUUUAGUCAUAUUCCUGUUGAAAAAAAAAUGAUAGUCCCUCUAAGCGCAAACCAGGUGGGAUGGCGUAUCGCUGCAGGAUGCUGUGGUAGCCAUGCUGGUUAAGUGUGCCUUGAGUUCUAAAUAAAUCACUGACAGUGUCACCAGCAAAGCACCCCAUCAACAUUACACCUCCUCCUCCAUGCUUCACAGUGGAAACCACACGUGCAGAGAUCAUCCUUUCACCUACUCUGUGUUUCACAAAGACACAGUGGUUGGAACCAAAAAUCUUACAUUUGGACAUAUCAGAUUUCCACCAGUUUAAUGUCCAUUGCUCGUGUUUUUUGGACCAAGCAAGUCUCUUCUUAUCAUUGGUGUCCUUUAGUGGUGGUUUCUUUGCAGCAAUUUGACGAAGAAGGCCUGAUUCACGUAGUCUCCUCUGAACAGUUGAUGUAGAGAUGUGUCUGUUACUUGAAACUCUGUGAAGCAUUAUUUGGGCUGCAACUUCUGAGGCUGGUAACUCUGGGUCUUCCUUUCCUGUUGUGGUCCUUAUGAGAGGCAGCUUUUGAUCACGCUAUUUUAUUGAAUAAUAAUCCUCGAUAUGCAUGAGCUCUGAAGCCUGUUCAUGGUUUCAUGAUUAUCUUAUUGACAGAACUCAAGACACCAUCUUCUUGGGCAUGACGCUACAAGCUUGGCACAUCUGUAUUUGGGGAGUUUCUCCCAUUCUUCUCUGCAGAUCCUCACAAGCUCUGUCAGGUUGGAUGGGAAGCAUCGCUGAACAGCUAUUUUCAGGUCUCUCCAGAGAUGUUUGAUCGGGAUCAAGUCCAGGCUCUGGCUUGGCCCCUCAAGGACAUCCAGAGACUUGUCCCGAAGACGCUCCUGUGUUUUCUUGGCAGUGUGCUUAGGGCAAAAAAAACAAUUUUAUUCUCCUUUGCAAUAACAUCGAGGGUCUUAUUCUAGUGGCAUGAUCAUUGAUGCUUGGCUGACGUUUGACAAAUAAGAUCAUCUCUCUCUUUUGUCCAUAAUAAUCUCAUCACGUUAUAUUCACACUGUAUCUGUGAGCUGUUGGCUAGAGCGUGCGUGUCAAGACCAGUGGAC
Oncorhynchus tshawytscha (Chinook salmon) is the source of this 4469-nucleotide long non-coding RNA. Lineage: Eukaryota; Metazoa; Chordata; Actinopteri; Salmoniformes; Salmonidae. The record is from Ensembl.